GUGCCAGCCGCCGCGGUAAUACGUAGGGUGCAAGCGUUAAUCGGAAUUACUGGGCGUAAAGCGUGCGCAGGCGGUUGUGUAAGACAGGUGUGAAAUCCCCGAGCUUAACUUGGGAAUUGCACUUGUGACUGCACGGCUAGAGUGCGGCAGAGGGGGAUGGAAUUCCGCGUGUAGCAGUGAAAUGCGUAGAUAUGCGGAGGAACACCGAUGGCGAAGGCAAUCCCCUGGGCCUGCACUGACGCUCAUGCACGAAAGCGUGGGGAGCAAACAGGAUUAGAUACCCUGGUAGUCCACGCCCUAAACGAUGUCAACUGGUUGUUGGGAAUUAACUUUCUCAGUAACGAAGCUAACGCGUGAAGUUGACCGCCUGGGGAGUACGGCCGCAAGGUUGAAACUCAAAUAAAUUGACGG
Molecule: ribosomal RNA, 411 nt
Filed under: uncultured bacterium
Lineage: Bacteria
Description: bacterial SSU rRNA
Rfam family: Bacterial small subunit ribosomal RNA
Source: RNAcentral